This 7929-nucleotide long non-coding RNA is filed under the name Coffea arabica (coffee). RNAcentral describes it as "long non-coding RNA (CARA_LNC006183)". The record is from RNAcentral. Lineage: Eukaryota; Viridiplantae; Streptophyta; Magnoliopsida; Gentianales; Rubiaceae.
GGCACAUUACCAUGGAAUCAAGACAUCCAUCCUUGUAUGUAUAUUUCAGUGUGCUUUGAUGCUGCACAACUGGGCGGACUCUCACGGAACAGAAUCCUAGCAGCUUUCCAAAGGGAAGAAGAGAAAAUCCCUGUUGUCUUUGUACUAAAAUCUAUUGACCGGUCCAAUUCUCAACUCUAGUGUCAACAACCAAUGAAUGUUGCUCCCAGUAGUAUUCCUGAGGCACAAGAAAACAGAAACAUGUAGUUCCAUUCAUUCAAAAGUACGAAUGCCUUCUGGGAAGGGCAGCAGCUUUGCGUAACAAAAGUGACACUUCCAUUGAUAUUUUCUUUAGAAAACAAAAAAGAAAGUAUACAUAUAAUGCCUUCACUACUGUUAGUACCCCAGCAGAUUGAUUUGUCGAACGAGGGAAAGUAGUAGGGCAAGCAAUGAUGAAAGCAGCAAAGCUGCAGCUCAAUAUCCAAGUUGGAGUGCACAUAACAGCGCAUGAUUUGGCAUACAAUAAUCACGGUGUUUCUCCUGAGGGCUCUCAGUGACCAUAAACAACUUUCUUUCUCAGAGAAAAAAAAAUUCAAUUUUUUAACUUAAAUUGAAGCAAUUUAUUAACUGAAACAUAAUGUAGUGUGUAGGCCUAUGGCAGCCAGAUAAAAUGAUAGAUAUGUUCAAUGCUGUCUUAUUUGAGACAGUUAAGAUGUAUUACCUAUAAGUACUCUAUAGUGGAAGGAGAGGGGUUCUUUCAUCAUGUUCCACUCGAUGGCUAGCCUGUAAAAUUGAUAAGAGAGAAAUCACAUGUGCAUGUAAUAAGUGAAUCCAUAUAUAUACGUAAAUUCUAAGCAUGCAGUAGUGGAGUCUUACCUCGUCAUGAGCCCCAGCUGCCAUGUCCACAAAGGAUGCAUCCUUAGACCUGGAAACAUUACGUGUCAAACCAUUUUCUAAAAUAGUAAAGAAACAACAGAAACAUACAGCCAUGUCAUCAGCGCAUAAAGCAUGUCUACCAAAAGGAGCAACCGGUUAAGAAAAGAUGACAUGGACAUUCUGAAAUGUCAGUUUCCUAUCCAGUGUGAUUCUGCCAUUGACUUAGCUGUUUUUAUUUUCAAGAAAGUUAUGGUUAGACUCGAGUUAUUAUAAUCUUGUAAUACAUUCUGGCAUAUCCUUUAUUUCAGAUCCAUCUAACUUUACAGGUAAAAGGUCAAUCCAAUUAUCUCAUGGUAAUCUAAAGACCUGUGUGCAACAUGGAACUUCAGCAUUUUCAUUUUUGCAUUUCCUCCCAUAUCUACCGAGAAGUUUAGCAGCACAAAGCACAAAACUUGUCAAAAUCUUCUUAGACAAUCACUGAGGCAAAUGUCCAAUCCACCAACACCACAUAUAUACUCAUGAAAGGUGUAUCUAUGGAAGCCGAUAACUGAAAUCAAGCCUGCAAAAAAGUGUAACUUUUCAAAAGUUACUUGUUCUACAGAAUGAAUCGGAAUGGAUGAAGAACAAUACUGUUAGCCUUACUGAUGUCUCAUAGAUAUAAAGGUUUCUUACAAAGGCGAAUGUCUCGCUUUCAUCAUGAGGACCACUAUUGCUUUUGUGCCCUACUUUCGCUCACAAUCAACUGGAUAGCUAUUGACUUUUUCAAUCCGGUACCCUAUCUAUUCCCAGGCUUGCUUAGCCUAAAAAUCCAGCCCCAAGCACUAAUUUAUGUAGAAAGACUACUAAUGACAUUACACCGAAACAGUAAAGAACUGCCUUUGUUUAAAGAGGAGUGUAGGCCACAGAAACCUAGUUUUUACCACAGUUCCUUGUGUAUCUAACCAAGAGAUAACAUGUAAUAGCAUUUUCCAGAGCUUAAGAGUUUAUUAAACAAGAAUACUCAUCAUAUGCUUCCCAAGGCGAAAAAUAAUGAUAAUCUCAUACCUAAAGUUAUGUUGAGUUUUCAUCAUUUCCAUACCACCAUUCUGUACUUCAUCCUUGACCUUUGAAAGGGGUGAAAAAAACUGGAAAUAGAAUAAUAAUGUAAGACGAAUUUACAAGAGAGACAUUAGAUCAUAUAUUCUUCAACCUCAAGCAGUUCAACAUAAUAAAGUAGAAUAGAUGAUAAAAGGGAUUUAGAUUAUCAAACAUGAAAAUAAGAGGAAAAAAAAAAGUAAGAAAUCCAUUGAGAGAAUAUAAAGCUAAUUGUAUUGCCUUCUGCUGAGUUACCUGAUGCAUGGAGAUAAAUACAAUGGAGAUUCCUAAGAUGAAGUUUAUUGUCAAAGUAUGACCAAACAAUGCUGCAGAUGCAAUCCCAGUAAAAAUUGUUGCAACAGUUGACGAAUACUUCUUCAAAAUUGUAUCUACACAAUUAAAGACAAUCCAAAUCAAGGCCUUGCACGUGGUGAACACAAGAAUGGUAUACAGCUGUUUAUGGCAGCACUAUAGUCAGUAACAUAACAUUUCCUAUUUUGAGCAAUGAUGUAUUUUACUGCGUACUUAGACAUAAGUCAGCAUCAUGUAACAACCAGUUGAAAUCUGCCAUAUGCCUAAUUAAAAUAACCCAUUGCCAACAGAUUGGUUUCAGACACAUCCGAAUUUGGAUUUCAGAUAUCUGCCAAGUAUGUACCAAGAAAAUUGAAGCAGUAUUCAGGUUCCGACGAUCCCGACUUGUGCUCCUGAAAGUUUCCUCACUUUGACUUCCUUAGGAGAGAAGAUUUUCCUAACAUAGUGACUGAGAUUAACUUCGUCCAAUUUUCAACUUGAUUAAAAACAGCUUCACCUACCAUCUCAGGCAGUGUAAAUUAUCUAAACCAUAUAUUUCGUCCCUACCAAAAUUUCUCAUUAGCAAAUACAUUUCAACAAGCACUCAAGUUUCAGGUGAAACCAACAAAAGAAACACAACCAAAAACGAAAUAAACAGGAAGUUUUUGUUAAACUCAGCACAACAAAUUUCAUGUUAAAAUGAAUAAUAAAAGAAGGAAAGAUCAAAGCCAAAACAUACAAUGAAAACAGUUCGAAUUUCUUUCAGUAUGGAUGAUAAAAUAAGUGUCGUAGGAUGAACUAUGAUAUGUGGAUAAUGAGACAGACAGGUACAGUUUGUUAAUGUAUGUAAAGGGGAAAAAUGUAUGUACAGGAGCAAAGGAGCACAUGCAUAACUGUGAAAGCAGCUAGUACAAAAUGUACAUCAAUUUUAGAUUUUGCAUAUCAUGAUGAGACAAACUUUAAAACAUGCACAGCAGGACACUUGAUGCCCAGGAACAAAUGCGAGAAACACUUGGAAAGAUAAAUCAACAAACAUAAAUGAGGUCAUCAUAUUUUGGGUUUAAAGCAGUUUGGGUGACAUCCCCUGAACAACGUAUCUUAAAGCAACAAAGAAAAGGAUCUAGAUAAACUCUACAACCCUUCGAGGAUUAAUCCCUUUAUAACUGGUCAUUCAUGUUUAACUAAUCUACUACAUUAAGUUCCAUCAGUGACCCAAACAUGGGCUGUUCCAUUCUUACCUAUUCUUUCAAAAUGCACAAAAGAUAAAGAGGUCCACAAAACACAAGAAGGCAAAAGAAUUUGUUGGAAAAGACAGCGCAAGAAACGGAGCACAAAAUUGUCUGUAAGUUCUACCAAUCCACAAACCUAUUUGCAUAUUAACUACUAGACAGGACCUUUAAUACGGAACUUGAUUAAUAUUUAAGAAAUGAUAGAUACCUGCAUAUUUGAAGAAAAAUGAGGAUAAGAUCCCUUGAGCUGCAUUGUUGCAUAUUAAAAAAAUAGUUGCCUUUGAAUGUCCCCGCAAGAUAUCCAAGUUAUCAGGUCCUAAAGUACAGUUAAGUAGAAGGAUUAGUCAGAAGCACAGUAAGGAGAAAAGAAAAACUUUUCCAAUCAUUUUCAAGAAAUAAUACAUAUUUGCUAUGACAAAUAUAGAAUGACUAUUAAAAGCAAAAAAACCACGUGAGCGUUCAGAUUCAUAAAACACAACCACAUAUUCAACUCAAAUAGUCAUUUUUUAAAGCCUGGAAAGUUUGAUAGAACUUCAUGACAGCCUGUAAUAAGUAUGAACCGACAUCUGGCAGUGGUUGCCACCUAUAUCCUCUCCUCUCAAACUUUACUAUGCUUUAAGAUUCCAUGUUUUGACCAUACCUAUAAGCAUACAGCCUCUGAUCUGACAUCAUGCAAACAUUUGGUAGGAAGUACUAAACAAUGAAAAAAGGCAUGAUUUCCGGUGACCAUUCAAUCCAACGAUACAUGUUAUAUUGACCACUGAGAAUGUCUCUGGAAACACAACUUGCAAAAAGUAGAUAAUGCACUUCAUAGACUCCUCGGAGUGAAUAUACUCUAGUUUAUUCAGACAAACUCAGACGUCCUGUAGUUUCUCAUCCUGCUCCAUGGAUAACUGCUAAACUAUCCAUUUUUAGAAAAAUUCUGUCAUCUCGGUCUACCACUCUCAACCAGUGUAGCGUGAAAGUGGGAUGAAGGUCCCAGUAUUUCAGUGCCAAGGUUCUGCACAUUUGUUUUUAUCUAUGUCGGAUGUAUGGGUAUAAAACUAGGAGCAAAUUGAGUACAGUAAAUUCUUCAAAGCAAAAUAAAUGACUCACCAGUCCAAAAUACUGUAAUUAGCAUUUAAAGCAAAACAAUUAAUUUGUAAUCAUAUCAAGAUAACUGGUUACAAAACUUGACAACUCAGCCUCGAACAAUUGAUCUUUACAGGAUAGAACUGCUGCAUCCUAGGAAAAUAUGAUGUUUUAAUACCUUUGAAAAUGGCAGCCCCAAGUAUUCCAAGAAAGUUGAAUAUUGCACCAUAACCAUACAGAAAUAGAUUCUGCAAACAAUCAUAAAAUAUUUAUUGAGGAAUUGGAACAUGAUAACAAUAACAAGGUCCAUACAGUAGACCCAUACAACAGAAACAAAUAUCUGAAUACCAAGUAAAACAGUGUAAAUCUCAUCAUUAUCCAGGAGUAAGACAAAUCAACUGGGCUGAAAAUCAAAAUAGAAAGAUAAAUCUAGGAAUGUGCUCAAAGCCAAAGGAAGAAGACCAACUAUUAAUUAGCUUAACCACAACUACAGUUAAAGUACUUCUGCAUUUCAUUUCACUACUGGUAAGCAGAUAUUCUCAUGCAAAUCCAUGCUUUACCUUACAAACAAUCAUCCAAUUUGGUUGAUGUCCUCUCUGUGCCUCUCUGUCUUUGUCCACAUUUAUAAACAUACAUAUGCUUGCAUACGUACAUAGAGACAUGUAAAUGCACAUAUACAUACAUAUAUGCACACAUAAAUAUCAGGCCUUCUGUGAAUUAAUUUCUGUUUGGGGACUGCUAGGGGCUGAAGUGGGCAAGGUCUUAGGGCAGGCAAUUUCAUGUACUAAGAAUCCAAGGAAGAAGUCAGACUUUGGAUUAAUUAACUGCAAACAGUUAAAACUCACCUGAAGAUAAAUGCUAGUCUCAAAUUGGCUCUUCAAAGCAUACUCAUUGUAGACUGAAGCCAAUGAAGGAACAGUUACCUGAAAUAUAGAUUAUAGUGUUGGCAACUAACUUCAUGGUGCCUUACCCCAAAAUAAAUAAAUAAAUUUAUACACAAUACAUAAAAGGCGUCUAGUACCUAACAUUGCUAUGUAGUUCUAUCUAGUAAAUACAGUCCGUUCUUAACAUGGCAGUCACUUAUAGCAGUAAAGCUGUGAGUGUAAAAUAAGAAUGAGUGCAAGUAUUAUUUAGCGAGUAGUCUGAUAACAUUUCACCACUUAAUGAGCUUUAUACACCAAAAUGGGAGGAUCGAAGCAACUUCAAGUCACCCAGAAACUGAGCACAAUAAAAGCAGACAAGGAAAAAGCAAUUCAAGGAAUCAAAUAGCAAAUUAUUUCCAAAGGACUUACAAAAAUUAAUGUGUAUAAAUAAGCAGCUGUUGCCACUGGAAGACCCAUAGCACUAGAACCCUCUGGUAGAGAGCGCAGCUGAUUGACUGAAAUUCCAAUAAGCAACAGUGCAAGAGCCUCCCACUGAAGCAAACGAAAAGGCACAAUCACAUACAGAGAACAGAUUUUAUAAUCAACCAUCCAGACAUUAAAGGCUCAUAACAACUCCCCGAAGAAAAGGAGGGAAAAGGAGGGAAAAGAAGAAUAAGAAGAAGAAACAGUAGAACAGAUAUGCAUGUUUGCUUAAUGAAAUUUCAAUUGAUAGAAUGCCCACUAAAUUAUUUAAAAAUACAAAUUACAAACCUGAAUUAUGGAAAAGCGACGUCUCAUUAUUAUCUUUAACAAAACUGCGAUAACCAAAACCUGCAAAGGUACAAUACAAAUUUUAAAGACAAUAAAACAAAAUCUAGAAAAAAUUAUGGAAGCCAUAAGUCAAUAAUGCUGGCAUAGAAUUAGUCAUGGAACAGCCAUUUCUUUUAAGAAACCCAGGCAUAUUCUUUAGCAUGUAUUCAUUCUUCCGUGAAAGGGCCUUCAGAAAAUGUCUCGAAGAGUUCCAUGAACUAUUUGACAACUUAGUUAACAGUAAUAGUGUCAAGACGCAACUGGAGGGUAAAUUUUUGGUAAUAUUCUUCAGGCACCACCAAUCAGAAAGACAUAAUGACCAUAUUCUUAAAGCUCCACAAAUAUGCAGGAUUAGUGCGGAACAGAAAUCAUUGGCUUGAGAUUUCCAGUAGAGAUGAAUUGGUCAAUAUCUGAAUCUUUCUCAACUGGUUUCAAGAAGCCCUUGAAAAAAGAAGCUCCGAUUCCCAAAGUAGGACAUGAUAAACAGAAUGAAAUUUUUGCACAGGAGGAUACUUGGAGGUGCAAAUGAAGCAAAAUAGGAUUUUCCAGCAUUUUUUGGGCUUCAAGGCAUGAUUUUGGCUCAUUAAGAGGUUAAAAAUGUCAACCCAAAGAGCACAAGUUGAUCAUUUGAUAAUUUUGCUUGAUGCAAGAGUGCUGUCAAAGCAUCAAAAUCGCUCCAUAGGAACCAAAGAGCAGAAAAUUAUGUGCCUUAGUUGAGUCGCAGCCUAUAUCCACUUCAAUAGAUUCAACAUGGACUUUUUUUCCAACUACAGUACCAUCUGCUGGCGUGCACACCAUCUUACAUCAGGAGUUACUUCUUGAACCUAAAUUAUGCAAUUCAGAACAUACACCUAAUGCAGGCCGGAAAUUGUAAUGCAGAGAAAUGGAGUCAAGCAUCAGAAGCAGGACAAGAAUGGAUGAAAACGGAACAUUGCUACAUGAAAUAUAGAAGUCCAGCUUUUACCACUAAAACUUAACCAGUAAAUACCUUCAGGUUACUCAGCAUCUUAACUGUUGCAGGAGUGAAAUAUAGCUGCAAGCAGAAAACCAUGCAUUAGGACUGUCUGAUUGUCACAGAUUCAACAUGAUGACAUCAAACAUUUCAAACUCUGAUAAGUGUACAGAUACAUAAAUGUGUGUGCGUGUAGGCCCAAUUUAUGGCAAGUCACGUGACAUUCAAGUGCUUCUCUUUCACAAAAAUGGCAGAGCCACGCUCAUCCAUCUUGUAUACACAAAGCACCUUCCCUGGCCCAACCCACAUUUACAUAAUAAAAGUGCUCCAAAACACCUUAAAACACUCAUAAGUGCUGUAGCCUAUGAAGUCACAACUCACAGCCAUACACAUAUAUGGUUGGGCUGUCUGGUGGGCGUUUUAACACAUUCAUCACCCAAAUUCAAGUUCCAAGCGCACACCCCCACCCAAAAAAAAAACCCCCCAUCCAGUCAACCAACCUGCUAGAGGGCUACAAUACAUCUAAAAUGAACAAAAGAUUACUAAGCCAUAAAAAUAAAACUCCAACAGUGGAAUAACACUACUAAGUCAAAAUUCAAGAAUAACACUGCAACAAUUGAAAACAGUACUAAUCCAUAAGCAAUGAAAAAUGACCUUCCCAACUAAAUGCAGAUAAGAAAACGAAAGUGAAAGUUGAGGUUUUACCUGCAUGGUAAACUUCAGAUAGUUGUUUAUAGCAUAAAGCAGAGCAGGAACAGCCAGAAGCAUAUUAUUACGAGCAGCC